GUGGGGAAUCUUGCGCAAUGGGCGAAAGCCUGACGCAGCAACGCCGCGUGCGGGAUGAAGGCCUUCGGGUUGUAAACCGCUUUCAGCAGGGACGAAAAUGACGGUACCUGCAGAAGAAGCUCCGGCUAACUACGUGCCAGCAGCCGCGGUAAUACGUAGGGAGCAAGCGUUGUCCGGAUUUAUUGGGCGUAAAGAGCUCGUAGGCGGUUUCGUAAGUCGAGUGUGAAAAAUCUGGGCUUAACCCAGUGGAGCACUCGAUACUGCGAUGACUUGAGUCUGGUAGAGGAGUGUGGAAUUCCUGGUGUAGCGGUGAAAUGCGCAGAUAUCAGGAGGAACACCAACGGCGAAGGCAGCACUCUGGGCCAGUACUGACGCUGAGGAGCGAAAGCGUGGGGAGCAAACAGGAUUAGAAACCCGUGUAGUCC
This 425-nucleotide ribosomal RNA is filed under the name uncultured bacterium. RNAcentral's name for it is "partial 16S ribosomal RNA". It matches the Rfam family "Bacterial small subunit ribosomal RNA", at positions 354 to 796 of the family's 1533-position model. The record is from RNAcentral.